GCCGAUGUGGCGGAAUUGGUAGACGCGCUACCUUGAGGGGGUAGUGAGCUACGCUCGUGCCAGUUCGACUCUGGCCAUCGGCACCA
Molecule: transfer RNA, 86 nt
Filed under: Candidatus Thioglobus autotrophicus
Lineage: Bacteria; Pseudomonadati; Pseudomonadota; Gammaproteobacteria; Pseudothioglobaceae (SeqCode)
Also listed under: 5 other names
Description: tRNA-Leu
Rfam family: tRNA
About the family: Transfer RNA (tRNA) molecules are approximately 80 nucleotides in length. Their secondary structure includes four short double-helical elements and three loops (D, anti-codon, and T loops). Further hydrogen bonds mediate the characteristic L-shaped molecular structure. tRNAs have two regions of fundamental functional importance: the anti-codon, which is responsible for specific mRNA codon recognition, and the 3' end, to which the tRNAs corresponding amino acid is attached (by aminoacyl-tRNA synthetases). tRNAs cope with the degeneracy of the genetic code in two manners: having more than one tRNA (with a specific anti-codon) for a particular amino acid; and 'wobble' base-pairing, i.e. permitting non-standard base-pairing at the 3rd anti-codon position.
Source: RNAcentral